GGAAAAAAAUUUAGUACAUUUUUAAAACUUAAAGCCAUUUAGGUAGGGCAUACAUUCCUUGAUUCAUCACAAUCCCCACCAAUCCCUCUUGUCUUAAUCCUUUAUCCUAUUUUCCCAUUACUAUCUGACUCCUGAAAUAAUGAGAUAGUGUUACUUUUAGCCAAGAACUUUACACAACAAAACUAAUUGAAGUUGAGAAAGAAUCGAAAAUGGAAGGGAUCUGAGGAAGAAGCAAUAAAUAAGGCUGAGCAGGAAGAGCCUGAACACUUGGGCAAAAAUCUAAAGGACAGAUAACUUCCCUAAAGAAUUGUAUAGCAUUACCAGGGAUAGGUUGUAAAGUUGAAAUAUACUUUUUGAAAGUAACAAUGGCAAAAAACAAUUUUCAACCAACCAUGUUGGAGAAAAUUCUGAACUAUUUUCUUAAUAUAAAAACUGAUACAAUAAAAUGGCUGAAAGACCACUGGAAGUGAUCAAAGAAUAUACAGUGAAAAAUAUAUGAAAAAAAUUAUCUUUGUGUUGAAGUUAGUCCACAUAUAAGGCCUAUAUAAUGAAUGAGGAUCUUGGGACUCAAUUUUGUGUAGUGUUGGCAACAUAGGAAAUGUUUUCCAAGGACAGAACAAACAUAAACACUACUGAAAGUUUUUGUGAAGAAAAAAAAAAAAGUGUUUGUGAUGAUGCCAAAAUUUGAAUACAUGAAAGUAUUUCCCUUUAUGGCUUAGCCAUUUUCUCCUUUGACCUUUAUCAAAGAAAACACCAUAAGUAUUAACACUGGCAGUAGAUUCAUUUGUUUAGAAAUAAAAAUGCAUCUUUUCAGAGAAACUGUCAGAUUGCCAAAGGAAAAAUGAUGUGUAAUCACAGUACUUCAUUUAAAAUGUCUUGGAAAAUAACAUUGUUAAACAUUCUUUUGAAUCUGAACAUCUCAUUAGCAUUUCAUUAAAUUUCCCAAUUUAAGGUGAAAGGUUAUGGGAUGCUAAUAAGAGAAAAAGAAGAAAAAAAUAUGCUUCACAAGAAAUGUCAGUAGAUUGAAAAAAUAAUUAUGUGAAAACUUAAUUAGUUGAAGCCCCACUGCUAACAAUGGACUGAUCAAGUUUAGUUAAAUUUUCUAUUAAUAAGGUGAAGUCAUUUUUUGGAUUAGAUUGAUCACUGAUGGAGAUAAAAAUAUGUAAAUUUUAAUUAUCUGGCAUUUCAUGAUUGAAUAUAUAGUUCAUACUCAGUUUUUAACCUUUGAAAAAUAAAGGCAUUUUCUAUGGCACAGAGGUGUCAUAUUCUAUGAGAAAAUAAUAUGAAAGAAGGGUCUUCAAAGGUCUUGGCUGCUGCAGGGAAAAUUCCUGACUUUAUUUUUAUUUAUUUAUUUAUUUUGGCUAUGUCCAUGGCAUGUGGAAAUUCCUAGGUCAGGGAUUGAACCCACACCACAGCAGCAACCCAAGCUGCUGCAGUGAAAACACCAGAUCCUUAACCCAGUGCACCAAAAGGGAACUCUGAAAAUUCUUGACUUUAAAAAGAUGAUAACAUUUCUACUUUUCUAUGUCAUCUACACAUGUUAACAACUAUUGGAAUGCAAGAAUAUUAUUAAUUUUUAUUAAUUUUAAAACAUAGACUUGCACAUUACCAGAUGUGCUAUAUAAAUAUUGUAGGAAUAGUCAGGAUAUUUUUAAUUUAAACAAUAGCACAAAAAUAAAUAUAACUUGUAGUACAAAUGAAGAAUUAGAACUUCUGGAAAAAAAUGGAAGUCUUUGUAGCAAGCACCUUUCACUCUAACUUAUUAAAAAUUACAAACUUUCAAUGUUUCAACAGCUUGCCAAUAAUCCCUCCUAUUAUUGAACAGAACACCAUUACCCCAGAUCAAAUAUUAAUAUAAAUUAUAAUUCAUAUAUAAUUAGCCUGUUUUUUCUUGCUAUCCUUAUUCAUUUAGACCAGAUAACUUCCCAAAACAAUUUUGGGUAAAGUAUCACAUGCAUAUCCCACUAUCUAGGAUUCUGAUAUAGGUGUUAAUUUAUUUAGCCUAGAAUAAAAGAAUUCACCUAAAAGCAAAAUGUUUGAAAUCUUUGUUAAAUCAACAAACAUAAUUUGACUCUGUGUAUUCAUUUACCAUUUUUUUUUAAGGACUACACCUGUGGCAUAUGGAAGUUCCCAAGCUAGGGGUCUAAUUGGAGCUGCAGCUGCUGGCCUAUACCACAGCCAUAGAAACAGCAGAUCCUUAACCCACUGAGUGGGGCCAGGGAUAAAAUCCACAUCCUCAUGGAUACUAGUCAGGUUCAUUACUGCUGAGCCACUAGCAGGACAUCUCUUCUACAACCAAGGAUGUAAAGUAAGAACCACCCAGAGUCUAGUAGGAGGGGAGAAGUAAACCAAUUAGAACCUGAAUCUUAAUGGGCAACCCAGAGGAAGAAGGUGAUGUCACAAACUGGGAAGUCCUCUUUAAGGAGCGAGGUCAUGCCCCACAUUGAGCACUCCAGCCCUGUGGACAAGACCAGGAAGAUAAGCCCCUUAAAUGGUUUGGAAAAGCAGUAGGGCUCACAACUGGGAGAACCUGAGGGCUACAGGAAACUGACAUGCUGUACUUAAAGAACACACACAAAAACAUACUCCCAGUCACAACAUGGGAGCAGCAGAAUGAAAAGCAUUUGCCAAGUUUGCCCCAGCACAUCCCCAGGCCCACACCUGGCCCUGUCUCCAACCUCACCACCAACAUGGUGCCCCCAAGUGUACCCUGGGAGAAGCACUGGCCCACAAGCUCCAGAUUACAUGCAUUAAGGUGGCAGUUUCCAACACUCCCCAGGAGAAGCCCUGGCCCCCACUGGGCUCUAACUCCAGUACUCACUACUCAGCCAAGAUGUCAGCUUCCAAGUCACCCCAAGAGAACCCACAGUCCAUGCUAGCUUCAGGUCCAGCCCUCCCACAAAAGCCACCAGGCACACAAAGUCCAGCUAGGGAUGUUCCCACACAAGGACACACAUCUAAGACCUGAAGAGCUAACUACAUCACCUAAUUCCAUAGA
This 2998-nucleotide long non-coding RNA is filed under the name Sus scrofa (pig). RNAcentral's name for it is "lncRNA (ENSSSCG00025029947.1)". The record is from RNAcentral. Lineage: Eukaryota; Metazoa; Chordata; Mammalia; Artiodactyla; Suidae.